RNAcentral lists this ribosomal RNA (560 nucleotides) under Microbacterium sp. RNAcentral describes it as "bacterial SSU rRNA". It matches the Rfam family "Bacterial small subunit ribosomal RNA", at positions 120 to 694 of the family's 1533-position model. The record is from RNAcentral. Lineage: Bacteria; Bacillati; Actinomycetota; Actinomycetes; Micrococcales; Microbacteriaceae.
AGCAACCUGCCCUGGACUCUGGGAUAAGCGCUGGAAACGGCGUCUAAUACUGGAUAUGAGACGUGAUCGCAUGGUCGUGUUUGGAAAGAUUUUUCGGUCUGGGAUGGGCUCGCGGCCUAUCAGCUUGUUGGUGAGGUAAUGGCUCACCAAGGCGUCGACGGGUAGCCGGCCUGAGAGGGUGACCGGCCACACUGGGACUGAGACACGGCCCAGACUCCUACGGGAGGCAGCAGUGGGGAAUAUUGCACAAUGGGCGGAAGCCUGAUGCAGCAACGCCGCGUGAGGGAUGACGGCCUUCGGGUUGUAAACCUCUUUUAGCAGGGAAGAAGCGAAAGUGACGGUACCUGCAGAAAAAGCGCCGGCUAACUACGUGCCAGCAGCCGCGGUAAUACGUAGGGCGCAAGCGUUAUCCGGAAUUAUUGGGCGUAAAGAGCUCGUAGGCGGUUUGUCGCGUCUGCUGUGAAAUCCCGAGGCUCAACCUCGGGCCUGCAGUGGGUACGGGCAGACUAGAGUGCGGUAGGGGAGAUUGGAAUUCCUGGUGUAGCGGUGGAAUGCGCAGA